RNAcentral lists this ribosomal RNA (468 nucleotides) under uncultured bacterium. RNAcentral's name for it is "partial 16S ribosomal RNA". It matches the Rfam family "Bacterial small subunit ribosomal RNA", at positions 28 to 507 of the family's 1533-position model. The record is from RNAcentral.
GACGAACGCUGGCGGCGUGCUUAACACAUGCAAGUCGAACGGAAAGGCCCUGCUUUUGUGGGGUGCUCGAGUGGCGAACGCGUGAGUAACACGUGAGUAACCUGCCCUUGACUUUGGGAUAACUUCAGGAAACUGGGGCUAAUACCGGAUAGGAGCUCCUGCUGCAUGGUGGGGGUUGGAAAGUUUCGGCGGUUGGGGCUGGACUCGCGGCUUAUCAGCUUGUUGGUGGGGUAGUGGCUUACAAAGGGUUUGACGGGUAGCCGGCCUGAGAGGGUGACCGGCCACCUUGGGACUGAGAUAGGGCCCAGAAGCCUACGGGAGGCAGCAGUGGGGAAUAUGGCACAAUGGGCGGAAGCCUGAUGCAGCAACGCCGCGUGCGGAAUGAUGGCCUUCGGGUUGUAAACCGCUGUCGCCUGUGACGAAGCGUGAGUGACGGUAAUGGGUAAAGAAGCACCGGCUAACUACGUG